GCCAUGCAGCUGAUGAGAUACGAGUUUAUAGGUAAUUUGUCUCUGAGGAAAUUGUAUGAUUUCAUUCUCUUUUUCACCUUGGAGAUCUGACGCCUCCC
This is a small nucleolar RNA of Lolium rigidum, 98 nucleotides long. The record is from RefSeq and is a predicted model, not a curated record. NCBI's taxonomy places the organism in Eukaryota, Viridiplantae, Streptophyta, Magnoliopsida, Poales, Poaceae.